CUACGGGUUGCAGCAGUGGGGAAUAUUGGACAAUGGGGGAAACCCUGAUCCAGCAAUGCCGCGUGUGUGAAGAAGGCCUGCGGGUUGUAAAGCACUUUCGGUUGGGAGGACUGCUUCUAGCACUAAUAUUGUUGGAAGUUGACGUUACCUUCAGAAGAAGCACCGGGUAACUCCGUGCCAGCAGCCGCGGUGAAUACGGAGGGUGCAAGCGUUAAUCGGAAUUACUGGGCGUAAAGCGCGCGUAGGCGGCUAGAUCAGUCGGGUGUGAAAGCCCCGGGCUUAACCUGGGAACUGCAUCCGAUACUGUCUAGCUUGAGUACAGGAGAGGAGAGUGGAAUUCCACAUGUAGCGGUGAAAUGCGUAGAUAUGUGGAGGAACACCAAUGGCGAAGGCAGCUCUCUGGCCUGAUACUGACGCUGAGGUGCGAAAGCGUGGGGAUCAAACAGGAUUAGAUACCCGAGUAGUC
This 466-nucleotide ribosomal RNA is filed under the name uncultured bacterium. Its description in RNAcentral is "partial 16S ribosomal RNA". It matches the Rfam family "Bacterial small subunit ribosomal RNA", at positions 339 to 795 of the family's 1533-position model. The record is from RNAcentral.